Molecule: ribosomal RNA, 516 nt
Filed under: uncultured microorganism
Description: bacterial SSU rRNA
Rfam family: Bacterial small subunit ribosomal RNA
Source: RNAcentral
GAGUUUGAUCGUGGCUCAGAUUGAACGCUGGCGGCAGGCUUAACACAUGCAAGUCGAGCGGGGGAGAUUGCUUCGGUAAUUGACCUAGCGGCGGACGGGUGAGUAAUACUUAGGAAUCUGCCUAUUAAUGGGGGACAACAUCUCGAAAGGGGAUGCUAAUACCGCAUACGCCCUACGGGGAAAGCAGGGGAUCACUUGUGACCUUGCGCUAAUAGAUGAGCCUAAGUCGGAUUAGCUAGUUGGUGGGGCAAAGGCCUACCAAGGCGACGAUCUGUAGCGGGUCUGAGAGGAUGAUCCGCCACACUGGGACUGAGACACGGCCCAGACUCCUACGGGAGGCAGCAGUGGGGAAUAUUGGACAAUGGGGGGAACCCUGAUCCAGCCAUGCCGCGUGUGUGAAGAAGGCCUUAUGGUUGUAAAGCACUUUAAGCGAGGAGGAGGCUCCUGUAGUUAAUACCUACAGAGAGUGGACGUUACUCGCAGAAUAAGCACCGGCUAACUCUGUGCCAGCCGCCG